CCUACGGGUGACAGCAGUGAGGAAUAUUGGUCAAUGGACGAGAGUCUGAACCAGCCAAGUAGCGUGAAGGAUGACUGCCCUAUGGGUUGUAAACUUCUUUUAUAUGGGAAUAAAAUGUUCCACGUGUGGGAUUUUGUAUGUACCAUAUGAAUAAGGAUCGGCUAACUCCGUGCCAGCAGCCGCGGUAAUACGGAGGAUCCGAGCGUUAUCCGGAUUUAUUGGGUUUAAAGGGAGCGUAGGUGGAUUGUUAAGUCAGUUGUGAAAGUUUGCGGCUCAACCGUAAAAUUGCAGUUGAAACUGGCAGUCUUGAGUACAGUAGAGGUGGGCGGAAUUCGUGGUGUAGCGGUGAAAUGCUUAGAUAUCACGAAGAACUCCGAUUGCGAAGACAGUUCACUGGACUGCAACUGACACUGAGGCUCGAAAGUGUGGGUAUCAAACAGGAUUAGAUACCCUUGUAGUC
This 460-nucleotide ribosomal RNA is filed under the name uncultured bacterium. RNAcentral describes it as "partial 16S ribosomal RNA". It matches the Rfam family "Bacterial small subunit ribosomal RNA", at positions 338 to 795 of the family's 1533-position model. The record is from RNAcentral.